Molecule: ribosomal RNA, 484 nt
Filed under: uncultured bacterium
Lineage: Bacteria
Description: partial 16S ribosomal RNA
Rfam family: Bacterial small subunit ribosomal RNA
Source: RNAcentral
AUUGAACGCUGGCGGCAGGCCUAACACAUGCAAGUCGAGCGGAUGAAGGGAGCUUGCUCCUGGAUUCAGCGGCGGACGGGUGAGUAAUGCCUAGGAAUCUGCCUGGUAGUGGGGGAUAACGUCCGGAAACGGGCGCUAAUACCGCAUACGUCCUGAGGGAGAAAGUGGAGGAUCUUCGGACCUCACGCUAUCAGAUGAGCCUAGGUCGGAUUAGCUAGUUGGUGGGGUAAAGGCCUACCAAGGCGACGAUCCGUAACUGGUCUGAGAGGAUGAUCAGUCACACUGGAACUGAGACACGGUCCAGACUCCUACGGGAGGCAGCAGUGGGGAAUAUUGGGCAAUGGGCGAAAGCCUGAUCCAGCCAUGCCGCGUGUGUGAAGAAGGUCUUCGGAUUGUAAAGCACUUUAAGUUGGGAGGAAGGGCAGUAAGUUAAUACCUUGCUGUUUUGACGUUACCAACAGAAUAAGCACCGGCUAACUUCGUG